RNAcentral lists this ribosomal RNA (459 nucleotides) under uncultured bacterium. Its description in RNAcentral is "partial 16S ribosomal RNA". It matches the Rfam family "Bacterial small subunit ribosomal RNA", at positions 338 to 795 of the family's 1533-position model. The record is from RNAcentral.
CCUACGGGGGGCAGCAGUGAGGAAUAUUGGUCAAUGGUCGGGAGACUGAACCAGCCAAGCCGCGUGAGGGAUGAAGGUACAGAGUAUCGUAAACCUCUUUUGUCAGGGAACAAAGGCGGGGACGUGUCCCCGGAUGAGUGUACCUGAAGAAAAAGCAUCGGCUAACUCCGUGCCAGCAGCCGCGGUAAUACGGAGGAUGCGAGGGUUAUCCGGAUUUAUUGGGUUUAAAGGGUGCGCAGGCGGUCUGUUAAGUCAGCGGUCAAAGCCCGGGGCUCAACCCCGGCCCGCCGUUGAAACUGGCAGUCGCGAGUUGGAGAGAAGUAUGCGGAAUGCGCGGUGUAGCGGUGAAAUGCAUAGAUAUCGCGCAGAACUCCGAUUGCGAAGGCAGCAUGCCGGCUCCACACUGACGCUGAGGCACGAAAGCGUGGGUAUCGAACAGGAUUAGAUACCCUUGUAGUC